Molecule: long non-coding RNA, 2208 nt
Organism: Scophthalmus maximus (turbot)
Lineage: Eukaryota; Metazoa; Chordata; Actinopteri; Pleuronectiformes; Scophthalmidae
Exons: 3
Source: RefSeq, a predicted model, not a curated record
ACUAGGCACAGUAGGCCACAUGUGUAUGUUAAAUCAGUUUUUCUUAUAUUCAUUUUUGAGUUUCUCUUAUUUUUCAGUGGCCCUGAGCGGUGUCUGCUCCGGUGCAACACCGCCCCCUGCUGGUGAAGGAUAUUGAAAGGCGUCUCUCCGUCAGUGACACGGAGCACGGUGCCGUCCGGAAGUCAGUGACCGUCAGGACUCAAAUCCGCCUGUUUCACUGAUGUGUGGAGUCUAGUCGUGGAUUCGAUUCCUUGCCUGGACCCAUCCACUUUGAACCACUACCCUCCCUCCACGAAGUCCCCCUGCAGAAAAGGGUUCCAGGAAAGAAGAAAGACAAAGAGAGAGAGAAGCUGAGAGCACUGACCUCCUCACCCUCUCUUGUUCCGGCUCCAUGGUUUUUUUGUGUUGUUGUUGUUGUUUUUGCUGUUGUUGUUGUUGUUGUUGUUUGUUUCUCUCCCACGCUCGCGUCCUCCUGGAGCUGGGGGCUCUUGCUCUUGCAGGAGACGACAGGUGUCACUGUAUCCUUGCGCUUUUUGUCUGCGCCCUCGUGCGCCAACAAGCGCCACGACAAGCAGAACAAAAAAAUUAAAUAAAUAAGAAAGAAAGAAUAAGCGGACAGACACACCCACUUCCAGCUGAAAAACCUUUCUCACAGUUCUCAGAUACUGCUGCACACCACAGGAGAUCAAGUAAUCAUUCUUGAAUUAUUCAUUUAUAAUAUAGCAGUUUGGUCCAAAAAUGCCAAGAGUUCAUUGGAAUCAGAUUACCAAACAUCGUCCUUCUUUGGAGACAUCUUGGCCUCCUUUUGGAAAUGUUCGUCACGUGUUGCAAUGAUCAUGGGACCAAAAGCAGGAACUACACUCAACAUCACAACAACGUGAGAGACGCGUCCAUCCAGUGGGCACGACGCAGAGUCUGAGAUGCUCAGGGUGACCACGUUGUGCACACACACACACACACACACACGUGCGCGCGCACACACGAGCACUCUGUGUACUUCCACAGUGUCUGAGGAAUUUUCCUCCCCUAAGCCGAAGCCUUGCAGUGAGUUUUGACCUUACCACAGAAGAAGAGCACAAACAAUACAUUAACAAUGCUGAGAGCCGGAGCUUUUGUGGUGAGAUGGGGCUCCAAUUCCAGGAAGACGCUGUCUGCGAGUUUGGGAAAUGAUGAGUCCCCUGAUGGAUGAAAUCUGAAGAAAUGAUGCAGAAAUGAUGGAGAACAACAACAGUGUUGUCCGUCCAUAAAAGGGCAGGGAAUCGGAGUUUAAAGUCAUAUUGGCUACGAGUUCUUUCUGAUAAACUUGUAUCAGAGGUACAGAGGACGUAGCUAGUAUGACUAGUCUAAUGAAACCAAACAUGGUGAAAUUCUCCUUACAUCUAACAAUAAAUAUUGGUCUUAUUAUUAUAUAUUUUUUUGAGCUACAUCCUCUCUCACAUUCUCAGCUUUAAAUCUCCUGCACACUGUCCGUCUUAGUGCAGGUUGAUUACAUCUCAGUCAAAUCAAACUUAACCCAGUUAUCCACUAAUGAAAAUGACAGUUAAUUAGCUCACUUACACUGUUCACGUCUUCUAUCACAUGACACUUCUUAAUUAUGUGGGGGAAAUCAUGUUGGAGCUCGUUUUGUGUGUGUGCAUGAUGUAGUUAAACAGCAAAGGACAAAUUAUUGUAGGUGUCAGAUUAGGGUUCGAUGUUUGUGUUGGGCAGAUGACACGCUGAAUUUACCAAAUACACAUUACGUCAUGUCAAAUACAGCUGCGUACAGACAGAGAAUAUCUGAGUAGCUUUAUUAAAUGUACAUAUAAUCAAAGAAUGACUGUCAAACUGUAAAAAAAAGAGUUACAUUUACCCCCUAGAAUCCUUUUUUUUUCUCUAUAUAUUUUUAUUGUACAAGGAAGAUGAAAUGCAGCCUGACCCUGUUUGUACAGGUAACUGCUCUCAAGUCACAUGUGUAAACACCAAAGUGGCUUUUCAGGUGUUUCCUGUGGGCGAACCCUCGGCGAUAGGCCACAGACUCUGUGAAUCAGUGUGAGGUCUGCUCCUGACUGCGGUCGGGGGCUCCCUCUUGUGCAGCCCCUGGCGAGUGAGAGGUGGAUCGUAAAACAUUUAUAAUAACACGCCUCUGCUGGUAUACAGGUGGUGUCCUUUGGGUGCUGCCUAGCAACUGAGUCCAGCUGAUGCACUGCAAAAAAUGCACCCCCCCCCCCC